Molecule: long non-coding RNA, 518 nt
Organism: Alnus glutinosa
Lineage: Eukaryota; Viridiplantae; Streptophyta; Magnoliopsida; Fagales; Betulaceae
Exons: 3
Source: RefSeq, a predicted model, not a curated record
AAAAUUUUAGAAGCCGUCCCUCUCUCCCUCUUUCACAAAAUUUAUGGUUUUCCCCCACUUCUAUCUCUCACAGUAGACUGCACGAGGUGACUAACUCGCUGUCAAGGAAAUUGCCUUAGUUGCAUUCGGAGAGUUAUGAACAGAGAAAUCUAAACAGCCGGAAUGAGAUCUUAGCGGUUUGAAGGCGUUACGUGAGAGUUUGGCGAUGGCUUUCCGCGAGCGGAGAGAAGCCACCGGGUUUGCUUGACGCACGCUUCAUAUUACGUACAUUCUUUGAGAUUUACAAUUAGUCACCGAUGACGAAGGCCAGGUGCGUGGAUUGUGCAUGUCACCAGGAAAGUGCUCCAACCACCUUGUGUGAGGUGACGAAUUGGCUUACAUAAUUAAAAUCCACGAUAUGGGCACAAUAAUAUUGUUUGACCAAAAAAAAGGCUCCUUGGAUUUUACUUUUUAGGAAUUAUUCUAUUUUAUUAGAUUAAAUCUUCAUUUAUUUGACAAAAAGAAACACUAUGAAUACC